CUUGCCCAGUGUCCCACACUUAAUUAUCUGCUUUACUUCCAAGUUCUAGGCACAUUCUACUUUUAUCAGUGUUUAUUUCUCAAAUGCAGUCCAACUAGAAUAAAGCCAUCCCUCUCUCCUCCCUUAUUCAGGCCUCUAUACUUCUUUUAAUAUGGUCUUGAGUGUCUUAGCUUUCAGAGAACUCUCCCUGUACCCAAGGCUUGUAUCUCCUCAUUUGGUUCAAUGCAGCAGUUUAUUUAUUCAUUCAUUUUCUGAAACUGGAGCUAGCUGGCUGGCAGAAUUUAAUCAGAAGAUUGUGUAGCUAUGGCAAGAGGCUGCCCAAAUCCAUAACUAUAAUGAGAGAAUGGGUGACAGGAGAAUUGGAUUAAAAGGCAGCUCGCUUUGCAAAGGGGGAAACACCAACUCCCCCUCCCUUCCACUUCUUACUGCCCACCUGUGAGAAGAAGAACCGAAACCAAAGGGGAAAAUAUGGAGGGAGAUCAGCCCUGAGUGACCCCAGGGAAUUUCUAAAGUAAAGGGGUUAUUAGACACGUGGAGUAUGUCUUGUUUGAGGGGUGGAGUCUCUGAGAGAAGAGAGGUGGGUAUCACAGUCAUAUGACAGAGAAGUGGAAUCAAGAACUGGUCAAGUCUAAGACUCUCUGAGAAGAACCCCAGCGCCUCUCUGCGUAUCCCCACCUGCUCUGGUGCCUGAAAUUUGUCCGCUUGGCAUCCAUCGCUCUGGCUUCACAACUACAGCAAUAUGCAUGCAACACUUAGGAACACGGAGUGGUUUCCACAUCUGUCUUCUUAUUUGAAUCUCACAGAAAUUCUGUGAGGGAUACACGGCAAGGAGAGAUGGUCUAGAGCAGGCAAUGUGAGCAAAAGGCUGGGGCCAAGAGGACCAGCUUGUUAUGGAGACUUGCCCUUGCCAAGUUUCGGUUUUCUCAUCUGUAAGUCAGAUAUAACAGUUCAUAUAGCUUGGGGCUUUGAUGAGGAUUAAAUAACAUAAUAUAAGUAAUAGUGCCUGGCAGAUGUUAAGUAACAUAUUUGCUAUUAUUAUUGUCCCCAUUUGAUGGAUGAGAAAACUGAGAAUUGGUUUCCGAAAGUGACUUGCCAGAGGCUGCCAGAGCUGGAUGGGAGCCCAGGUCUCCUGAUUUCCAGCCCUCUCUGCCUGCUCCAGCCCAUUGAACAGCGUCAACUCGUCUCCCUUCACAGUAAUGACAGUGCCAUCGGUGGGAGUGUGAGGAUGCUCUCGGAUUAGAAAGGGAAAGUCUCUUUGUUGUUUUUUGUAAAUGGGGAUUUACUUCAGGGUUAUUUGAAUGCUGCUAUGGUUUGUAGGACUUGCAGAUUCUAAGUAUCUUUUAAUUGGAGAGCAUUGCUUGAGGCUCCACGGCAAAGGUAUUUGGGUUUCUUUGUUUUAAACAAGAUGAAUAAACAAAGAGGAACUGGGUGCUGAGGGCCUUCAAGCACCGACGUUCUGUGAGUCUUGUUGGUCAUCUAUCACUUCUCACCACAAACCAGGUGGGGAAUCUAUGAAAGAAACGCAGCUUGAACUGGUCAAAGCAGAAAGAAAAAUUACUGGCCAACGUAAUGAGAAAACAAGAGUGGAGCUGAGCUUCAGGCAUGGCGAGAGGUAGAAAGAAAUGGUCUCAAAGCUCGGGCUGUCUGGUUCCAGCCCACACUUCACAACCUCGCUGCUACGCCAUGAGUCAUCGCGAAGAGCAACAUCACUUCCCUCUGACUGUGGGCGUUGCCACUCUCCUGAGCCUUCCUUGGCCAGGAGCGCCUCUGUGGCCCGCUUCACUCCCCAUCAGGGAUUAGCUGAGCCAUCUCUGAGACUGCAUGAUGUGCUGGUCACUGAACAUUGGAUGUCCAACUGCUCUGUUGAAGAAUAGCAUCAACAAUGAUGUGAAUUUUCUCUUCCAUUGUCCCAUUCAGUCCUAGAUUUUUUCAUUUCCUUCUUGUUCAAGAUAAUGAGGUCCUAUCAUGCCAAGCACAUGGAAACAUUAAAAUUUUGUCAGUCUCUGUUAAUAAUGAAUAAAUAUGUAUCAAAGGG
RNAcentral lists this long non-coding RNA (2035 nucleotides) under Equus caballus (horse). RNAcentral's name for it is "lncRNA (ENSECAG00000029056.3)". The record is from RNAcentral. Lineage: Eukaryota; Metazoa; Chordata; Mammalia; Perissodactyla; Equidae.